Engraulis encrasicolus (European anchovy) is the source of this 854-nucleotide long non-coding RNA. RefSeq lists it as uncharacterized. NCBI's taxonomy places the organism in Eukaryota, Metazoa, Chordata, Actinopteri, Clupeiformes, Engraulidae. The record is from RefSeq and is a predicted model, not a curated record. The transcript has 3 exons.
CUUUAUUUAUUUUUCCAAUCAGUUAUGAGAUUCAUGUUCACUGAUGUGAGGUUGUCAAUCUGCCACCAUCCAGAGGAAGUCCUGUGAACACAAACAAACAGACAAGUCAACUGCAAGACCGGUUUCACCAUGUUUAUUUUUUUAUGUUAUCAAUUCACCAUCGCUAAAUUUGCUUCUGAAAUGCAGUACCAUGUUAAAUGCACGUUGUAAAUCUUCCUCAGGCUGACAUCGUUGCUGAUUUACAAAGGCAAACUCUAGCUAGCACCUAGCUUCAGUCAUUGAAAACAUGGUGGGCAGAGCUAGCUAGUGGUUUCCAUUGUAAAGGUACUUCUGUAUGCCGUUUCAUUUCCAGAACAAACAGAAACCUAACACUAACUCAUAAAACGUGUUUGCAUAAGGCUAAAGUAAUUCGACGAUUGAAGGUGGAUGAAAUCAACACCAAGACCAUUUUAGCUCACCUUGAAAGUUACCCUGGUUGCUGCCUGCGUGCGAAAGCACUCUGUCGUACGUCUCAAACUCCACCCUUGUGUGUCAGUGUACUCAAUUAAACAACGUCAGCGUCUCUGAGCCAUACUGCAAGCAGAGCGGGCAGCGUACAACUAGAACGAGUGUGCUUGAAGUACAGAAGUAUACUGAUUGAGACGCUUCUGUUCUGCAGUAACCAAACUUUCGUUGCCUAGCAACAACAGGACUCGCCGCCACCGCGAGCUAGUUCAACUUCAGUGCAGCAGAGCCAGGCAAGGACUUCCUCUGGAUGGUGGCAGAUUGACAACCUCACAUCAGUGAACAUGAAUCUCAUAACUGAUUGGAAAAAUAAAUAAAGUUUUGCACACAAUGUGUUUGUCUGUGUACUU